Molecule: unclassified non-coding RNA, 156 nt
Filed under: uncultured Helotiales
Lineage: Eukaryota; Fungi; Ascomycota; Leotiomycetes; Helotiales
Source: RNAcentral
CAGAGUUCAUGCCCUUCGGGGUAGAUCUCCCACCCGUGUAUUUAUACCUUUGUUGCUUUGGCAGGCCUGCCUCGGCCACCGGCUCCGGCUGGUGAGCGCCUGCCAGAGGACCCCAAACUCUGAAUUUAAUGUCGUCUGAGUACUAUAUAAUAGUUA